UUUGAGUGGUCGGAAGACUAGAAAGGCGCUAUACAAGUACAGGUCCAUUUAUCAUUUACCAUUUCAUCGUCAUCACCAUCAGUUACUACUGUUGUGUAGUUGUUGCUAUUGCUUUGCUUGUCUGUCUCUGUCCUUUCUGUCCUUUCUGUGUCUCUCUCUCUCUCUCUCUCUCUCUCUCUCUCUCUCUCUCACGCACCCCAACUGGUUGAGGCAGACGACCACCCACCUAGAGCUGACGGGUCUGUCCUAGGUUUCUGCCUCUUUGAAAGAUUUUUUCCUUGCCCCUGUCGCCAAAGGUCUUGCUCAUGGUGGUACUGUUGGGUCUCUGUAAUUAAUGUUAUAAAGAGUUCGGUGUAGACCUGCUCUAUUUGAAAAGUGUCCUGAGAUAACUUCUGUUAUGAAUUGGCGCUAUACAAAUAAAAUUGAAUUGAAUUUAAAAAUUAAA
Molecule: long non-coding RNA, 445 nt
Organism: Dicentrarchus labrax (European seabass)
Lineage: Eukaryota; Metazoa; Chordata; Actinopteri; Moronidae
Exons: 2
Source: RefSeq, a predicted model, not a curated record